This 500-nucleotide ribosomal RNA is filed under the name uncultured bacterium. Its description in RNAcentral is "partial 16S ribosomal RNA". It matches the Rfam family "Bacterial small subunit ribosomal RNA", at positions 30 to 523 of the family's 1533-position model. The record is from RNAcentral.
AUUGAACGCUGGCGGAAUGCUUUACACAUGCAAGUCGAACGGCAGCACGGACUUCGGUCUGGUGGCGAGUGGCGAACGGGUGAGUAAUGUAUCGGAACGUGCCCAGUCGUGGGGGAUAACGUAGUGAAAAUUACGCUAAUACCGCAUACGAUCUAUGGAUGAAAGCGGGGGAUCGCAAGACCUCGCGCGAUUGGAGCGGCCGAUAUAAGAUUAGGUAGUUGGUGGGGUAAAGGCCCACCAAGCCAACGAUCUGUAGCUGGUCUGAGAGGACGACCAGCCACACUGGAACUGAGGCACGGUCCAGACUCCUACGGGAGGCAGCAGUGGGGAAUUUUGGACAAUGGGCGAAAGCCUGAUCCAGCCAUUCCGCGUGCAGGAUGAAGGCCCUCGGGUUGUAAACUGCUUUUGUACAGAACGAAAAGGUUUCUACUAAUACUAGGAGCUCAUGACGGUACUGUAAGAAUAAGCACCGGCUAACUACGUGCCAGCCGCCGCUGUAA